CAGAGAGACAGAUAGACAAACAGACAACAGCUCCUCCCAGCUCCUAUCACAGUUGUGUUUUUCUUGGCUUGUGUGGAGGAAACAGGAAACGGGAGUCCCCCACCCCAGAUCUUCUAGCACUGAAUUAAAGGGCCAUACACCGUUGAAAGAUUUAAAUGAGUGACAAAAAAAGGUUUGUCAUCUGACUGGGUGGGAUGCAAUGCUUUGUGAUCAGGAUACUUAAGCACCAUACUGUGAUCUGAUUGACGAGGACUAGAUUUCUGAGGAGAAAUAAAAGAUAUCCACUUUAAUCAAUGGGCUCAUUUGACUGGAGUAUCACAAUGCCCAGCGCAAUCACUGGUGUCCGAGGUUCCUGUGUGAUCAUUCCCUGCAGUUACAAAUUCAAAAAAUCCCAAAAUAGUGGCGCUGAAGUGAAAUGGUAUAAACUCUCCGCUCCAAAAGACUCUUUGCUGUAUGACCAAUCAACAUCCAAAAUCACUGAUAAUUUCAAAGGAAAGACAAGUUUAUAUGGAUCAAACGACAAAAACUACAGCCGCUUGAGAGGCAAUAUGA
Ictalurus punctatus (channel catfish) is the source of this 552-nucleotide long non-coding RNA. RefSeq lists it as uncharacterized. Lineage: Eukaryota; Metazoa; Chordata; Actinopteri; Siluriformes; Ictaluridae. The transcript is spliced from 4 exons. The record is from RefSeq and is a predicted model, not a curated record.